CCCUUUAGCCCCUUUCCGCCUGUAUACCGCCGUCGUCAGCUUACCCUCUGAAGGACUAGUAGUAGGCUUAACCAGUAAUACUCAAAACGACAGGUCGAGGCGCAGCUUAUAAGGGGGGAAGAGAUGGGCUACAUUCCCUGAAGCAGGGAAAACGGAAAGUGCGCUGAAACGCGCGCUGGAAGGAGGAUUUAGCCGUAAGCAGGAAGUAGAGUGUUCUGCUGAAGCAGGCCCUGAAGCGCGCACACACCGCCCGUCACUCUCCCUAAGCAAAAUCAAUCCAUAACUAAUACCCAAUAAAACACAAGGGGAGGCAAGUCGUAACAUGGUAAGUGUACCGGAAGGUGCACUUGGAUAAC
This 356-nucleotide ribosomal RNA is filed under the name Pseudochromis fuscus (brown dottyback). RNAcentral describes it as "partial 12S ribosomal RNA". It matches the Rfam family "Bacterial small subunit ribosomal RNA", at positions 1020 to 1526 of the family's 1533-position model. Lineage: Eukaryota; Metazoa; Chordata; Actinopteri; Pseudochromidae. The record is from RNAcentral.